This 64-nucleotide transfer RNA is filed under the name Neotermes koshunensis. Its description in RNAcentral is "tRNA-Gly". The record is from RNAcentral. Lineage: Eukaryota; Metazoa; Arthropoda; Insecta; Blattodea; Kalotermitidae.
ACUUACCUAAUAUAACUCUUACCUAAUAUAACUAGUAUAGAAGUUUGUAUUAACAAGAUAAGUA